UAAUUCGAAGCAACGCGAAGAACCUUACCAGGUCUUGACAUCCUCUGACAAUCCUAGAGAUAGGACGUCCCCUUCGGGGGCAGAGUGACAGGUGGUGCAUGGUUGUCGUCAGCUCGUGUCGUGAGAUGUUGGGUUAAGUCCCGCAACGAGCGCAACCCUUGAUCUUAGUUGCCAGCAUUCAGUUGGGCACUCUAAGGUGACUGCCGGUGACAAACCGUAGGAAGGUGGGGAUGACGUCAAAUCAUCAUGCCCCUUAUGACCUGGGCUACACACGUGCUACAAUGGACAGAACAAAGGGCAGCGAAACCGCGAGGUUAAGCCAAUCCCACAAAUCUGUUCUCAGUUCGGAUCGCAGUCUGCAACUCGACUGCGUGAAGCUGGAAUCGCUAGUAAUCGCGGAUCAGCAUGCCGCGGUGAAUACGUUCCCGGGCCUUGUACACACCGCCCGUCACACCACGAGAGUUUGUAACACCCGAAGUCGGUGAGGUAACCUUUUAGGAGCCAGCCGCUGAAGGUGGGACAGAUGAUUGGGGUAGAAGAUAGCCUCUAGAAUCAA
RNAcentral lists this ribosomal RNA (556 nucleotides) under Bacillus amyloliquefaciens. Its description in RNAcentral is "bacterial SSU rRNA". It matches the Rfam family "Bacterial small subunit ribosomal RNA", at positions 947 to 1501 of the family's 1533-position model. The record is from RNAcentral. Lineage: Bacteria; Bacillati; Bacillota; Bacilli; Caryophanales; Bacillaceae.